This is a long non-coding RNA of Octopus sinensis (East Asian common octopus), 280 nucleotides long. RefSeq lists it as uncharacterized. The record is from RefSeq and is a predicted model, not a curated record. The transcript is spliced from 3 exons. NCBI's taxonomy places the organism in Eukaryota, Metazoa, Mollusca, Cephalopoda, Octopoda, Octopodidae.
CUUUGCGAUAUUCAAACUACAAGAUAAUACAUGAUUAAUUCAAAAGAAUGGGAAUCAAUAAGCAUUACAUUUGACAGAAUAGUUUGAAUGUUAAAAGGUUUAGGUAGAGCAUUCCAAUAACUUGGUUUGUGUGAUAGUUUCCUUACUGCUUCAUUAAUUGGAUAGAAUUCUGCAUGUUGGUGAAUAGUUUAUAUUUUCAAUCUUUGGUGGUUUAUCACGACAGCCAUGGUUGGAUACUAGUUGCCUAGCAACAUAUUUUUGCAUAUUUGUUGCUGUUCUU